GACGAACGCUGGCGGCGUGCUUAACACAUGCAAGUCGAACGGAAAGGCCCUGCUUUUGUGGGGUGCUCGAGUGGCGAACGGGUGAGUAACACGUGAGUAACCUGCCCUUGACUUUGGGAUAACUUCAGGAAACUGGGGCUAAUACCGGAUAGGAGCUCCUGCUGCAUGGUGGGGGUUGGAAAGUUUCGGCGGUUGGGGAUGGACUCGCGGCUUAUCAGCUUGUUGUUGGGGUAGUGGCUUACCAAGGCUUUGACGGGUAGCCGGCCUGAGAGGGUGACCGGCCACAUUGGGACUGAGAUACGGCCCAGACGCCUACGGGAGGCAGCAGUGGGGAAUAUUGCACAAUGGGCGGAAGCCUGAUGCAGCAACGCCGCGUGCGGGAUGACGGCCUUCGGGUUGUAAACCGCUUUCGCCUGUGACGAAGCGUGAGUGACGGUAAUGGGUAAAGAAGCACCGGCUAACUACGU
Molecule: ribosomal RNA, 467 nt
Filed under: uncultured bacterium
Lineage: Bacteria
Description: partial 16S ribosomal RNA
Rfam family: Bacterial small subunit ribosomal RNA
Source: RNAcentral